This 497-nucleotide ribosomal RNA is filed under the name uncultured bacterium. RNAcentral's name for it is "partial 16S ribosomal RNA". It matches the Rfam family "Bacterial small subunit ribosomal RNA", at positions 28 to 507 of the family's 1533-position model. The record is from RNAcentral.
GGCGAACGCUGGCGGCGUGCCUAAUACAUGCAAGUUGAGCGCUGAAGGUUGGUACUUGUACCAACUGGAUGAGCAGCGAACGGGUGAGUAACGCGUGGGGAAUCUGCCUUUGAGCGGGGGACAACAUUUGGAAACGAAUGCUAAUACCGCAUAAAAACUUUAAACACAAGUUUUAAGUUUGAAAGAUGCAAUUGCAUCACUCAAAGAUGAUCCCGCGUUGUAUUAGCUAGUUGGUGAGGUAAAGGCUCACCAAGGCGAUGAUACAUAGCCGACCUGAGAGGGUGAUCGGCCACAGUGGGACUGAGACACGGCCCAAACUCCUACGGGAGGCAGCAGUAGGGAAUCUUCGGCAAUGGACGAAAGUCUGACCGAGCAACGCCGCGUGAGUGAAGAAGGUUUUCGGAUCGUAAAACUCUGUUGGUAGAGAAGAACGUUGGUGAGAGUGGAAAGCUCAUCAAGUGACGGUAACUACCCAGAAAGGGACGGCUAACUACGUG